AAUAACGAGCCAUGGAACUAUGGAAAGAGUGUGGAAGCAGACACUUUACUAAAGAAAUACAAACAUAUGGGGGAUGGUGCUUUUCUUGUAAGAGAAAGUAGAACAUUAACAGGCAACUAUAUCUUAAGUAUCUUGUAAGUAUCAACAGUAUUGUGUUAUGUCAUUUCAAGAUAAAAGGUGAAUCAAACACGGGGAAGGAAUAUGAAUAUAAUUGAGAAUAGAAAUGAGGAAAUGUACAACACUCUGACCAUAGAACAGAAAUCUAAAACAUAUUACUAACUUUCCAGAUAUUAGUUAUUGGAGAAAGACAUCUAAAAUUAAAAUUUGCUUUUAAAAAACUUAACUUGGUUGUAUUAAAAUGUGUUGAUUGUACAUAGUAUGUCCACAUAAAAAAGAAGAUGUGGUAUGAUUACCAAUGAGACAACUAUCCACAAAAGACCAAAAUGACACUGAAAUUAACAACUAUAGGUCAUCGUACGGCCUUCAACAAUGAGCAAAGCCCAUACCGCAUAGUCAGCUAUAAAGGCCCCGUAAGACAUGUAAAACUUCAAACGAGAAAACUAACGGCCUGAUUUAUGUAUGUAUAAUGUUACGAACAUCACAUUUCGAACAGUGAUAUACUACUGUUGCCCAUAUUCGGCUUAACUUUCAUAAGGAACGUUAUAAAAGAAACCAAAAUACCAAAGGAACAAUCAAGAAUCAAAAUUUGUGAAACAGCAGGCAAAACUAUGGCCAUAAAAACAACAACGAGAAGACAAAACACUACGCAUAGAUCUGAAUACAGAGCAACAUAAAUUGAUAUAAAAUCGGGUGAUAUAAGGUAAUCCGAAAAAUGAAGCAAUUCCUGCUGCAUGAGUUGCAAUUGUCGUGUUGCUAAUUGUUAGUUACUGCUCCACGAGUGAUACUCGCCUUAAUGCUCAUAGCAAGUAUAAAGUGGGUGAUAAAUCGUAUUCGCUUAGGUCACACACGAGAAAAGAAAAUGUCUUACGAUUUAAACAUAUCCGUUGAUAUAUGCUGUCCAAUCAAUUGAAACGAUUGGACGUUCCUGCACAUUAAUGAAAAUCACAAUACAGCAGAUAUUCGUCCUGCAAUUAAUUCAGUAUUUUAUAUGUGUUUUGAAAGACACAAAAACAUAUGUUUUGCCUUCAUUUUCGAUUUGAAAUUCCUUGAGGCCCGUGUAGUAAUACCAUACAGUAAUCACACGUUCAGCUGAAGACGUGUUCGCAAAAAAAAAAUCUCGAAUGUUCAACAAUGAUACAUCGCUCAAGGUGAAUAAAUAUUUAUUUCAACGUUACAACUAAUUUCAACAGUAAAAAGAAAUAACAAAACAUUGUCCAAUUUGAAACAGGAGUGUAUGAGUUGUCCUUCGCUUCAGACACGACAUUCAUUAAACAUGCAUGCUAAAAUUGACAAGGUUGUUUUUGUAACACAAUCAUACACAUUCAAGUUUUGAAAUCGAUAGUUGUCAUCGUUAAAAAGAUUGCUUUUCAUGUUUGUAUGUUAUCAGAAAAUUGGUGUGAUUCUUGUUGCUGUAAAGAAAUGUUUAAAAACAAAGAGAACGUAUAAAAGUAAUCGUUAAUUCGCACUUAAUACGUCAUUGGAAUACGACUGCAAUACUCAGUCUGGCAGUGGGCGGAGCUUUAAAAGCGAUAUCUGUAUAGUAUACAGAUACAGCAUAGAGAUAUCUGUAGGGCUGUAUAUUUAUAGUAGAACACCCAAUUGCAGGAUAAAAAUCAAAUAUUUACUAAUUAUGAUAAACACGGAUACUGUGUAUGAUUAUUAUUCGUUGGAUACUAACUUUCGUCGGGUUUCCGCUGGUACAUGUGAUCACAAAAUUAAAUAUUCGAUGUUUAAUAAUUUCCUUUUAGAAUUGUAUGCAGACUUUGGUCCUCAAUGUUCGUCAACUUUGUACUUGUUUGGCUUUAUAAUUAUUUUGACGUGAGCGUCACUGAUGAGUCUUGUGUAGACGCUUCGCGCGUCAGGUGUUAUUAAUUAUAAUCCUAGUACCUUUGAUAACUAUUUGGCAAACACACGAAAUAAUAUAUCCCCAAUCAUGUAAGUUUUCCUCUAUGCACGAAAAUUGGAACCCAAGAAAAUACUUGAAUCCACAGUAUGCAUUUAGCUAAUGCUAUCAAAAUAUGCAUCAGAUCGAUAACAAUAUAAUGAAGAGAAAAAAUACAAAUCGUCAUAUUUCAGUUGAUCAUCAUGCAUUUACUUAUUUACAAUGGAUAUCAAUGAACAUUUUCAGUACAACAGAUAAAUACUAAAUAAUAUGGAAUGAAACAUGGAGAACACAAUUUAUUUUUUGGCUAAUUGAUAUACAUGAUAUAUUUUAGGAUAAAAGAUGAAACAGUACAUUUGAGGAUACAUACAAAAGACGAGUCCGGACAAUUGAAGUAUGACUUUAAUGGAAACUUGUUUGAUAGUCUUGAUAACUAUAUCGAAUUUCUAAAGCAUGGUACGCAUAUAUUUGUCUUUGGUGUUUCAGAUAAAGCAAUUUCACUAACUAACCCUAUUCCGAAAUGAAUAAAUCGUAUCGCAAAGAGUUGUGUAACCAGGUAUAUUACAACGGCGUACAACAUGUACAAGGCAAUCUGCAGUCUAAUCAACAUGUGUUUUAAAUUAAAUUAACAAUGUAUGCUCUGUUUCAAAGCAACAAG
Molecule: long non-coding RNA, 2660 nt
Filed under: Mytilus galloprovincialis (Mediterranean mussel)
Lineage: Eukaryota; Metazoa; Mollusca; Bivalvia; Mytilida; Mytilidae
Source: RNAcentral